CAAGACAGAGGCAGGACUGAGAAGACGAGAGGUGGGCUUCGUUCCUGAGAAUAUCCAGGAGUCCAAGAGAUCUAAAUUGGAAGAUGGCCUUCCAAUUUAGGUCAGUUUCCAAUUAAGAAGGCCAGGUUUUUAUGAAGCAAUAUUUGUCAAGGAGAAGGUGAAGCUGACUUGACUGAGAGUGGAUGGAUCACUUCUGAGCUGCAGAAAGAAUUCAACUAUCAACUUGCUGGUCCUCUACUUCCCGAAACUCUCCAGCCUACAUUUCUUCCUCUUCUUCGGUUUCUAAACUCAAACUGACUUUGGAAUGAAAGGGAGCAGCUGCUGAGGUAGGAAGGUCGGAGGUGGCCCUCCAAAAGCCUCUUUUCUGGAAGCUCCGCUGCCAAGGGCUCGACUGGAGUCCCAGGACAUAUUCAGAGGCCGCCAGACCCCUGCAUGGAGGCCCCUCCCUUGCAGCUCCUGGUUACCAUGAUUGAAUGAUGUCCUGCAGCUCCGAGCCUCAGCCACCUAUGUUGUCAAGGUUUCCUCUGUGAAAGCAUCCAAAAACUCUGCCAGCACCUUCUUCUUUCCUUUUUUGUUUUCCUACCAGGGCCAGGCCAGGCUCUGCUGGCCAUUUCCGAUUAAGCUCCUCAGAAGGCAUAGAGCCACUCACACUCAGAAUUAUUUAAAAUAACACUAGACUGCAAAUGCCCUAAAUAUCCAUCAGAAAUAAAUGGAUGCAUAACAUUGGGUGAAAGAAGCCAUACACAAACAAACACGGUGUCAAGAACUACGUAAAUCAAGCUGUGAUCGGUCCUGCAUUCUUCCCUGUCACUGGGACGUCACAUAAGUCUACUGCACUUCCGGCAUGGACAUUCACUUUUGCAGAUGAGGAAACAAGAAUUCAGAGUUGAUUUGCACAUACGAAGCAAAACAAGUGAGAUCCAAGCCUCCAGACUCUACAACAGAUGCUUCCAAUAUCUAUGUCUAAUGAAGUAAACU
Molecule: long non-coding RNA, 978 nt
Filed under: Homo sapiens (human)
Lineage: Eukaryota; Metazoa; Chordata; Mammalia; Primates; Hominidae
Description: HSALNT0081311
Source: RNAcentral